GGAAUAGAAUAAUAGAAUAGAAGAAUUAGAAUAGGAAUAGAAUAAUAGAAAAGAAUAGAAGAAUAGAAUAGAAGAAUAGAAUAGGAGUAGAAUAAAAGGAUAGGAUAGAAUAGAAUAGAAUAGAAUAACAGAGUUGGAAGGGACCUUGGAGGUCUUCUAGUCCAACCCCGAAAACUCCUCCUUUUUUUAAAGUCUCGAGUCUCGUUUUAUAUCCUGCCAGACUCUUUAAAAAUACAGUCGAAGUUCAAGCCGAGAACAGGUGUUCAGUGUGGUGAAGAACACCGGAUGUGACUGAAGGGCAAAAGUUAAGCCAGAGUAAAACCAGAAGGAAGCAUUUGUCUUGUGGUGAGGUGAGCAGCAGACGGACUUCCUCGAGGAAUGAAGGAAACUAAAAAUAAGCCAAGAUGUUGUAAGAUGAGGACUCCUUGCAUUUGGGACGCGGGUGAUGGGCUCCUUAUUUGUUGCAUCUUGGUUUCUCUACUCCAGGAAAGUCUCCUAAAAGAAAUCUAGAAAGGAAGAAGAAGAAGAAGUUAGAAAGUGCGCAGUUUUGGGCUUGAGACCUAUGGAUAAGGAGAUCUUUCUGGUGAGUUUGUUGCUCCUGUCUGCUGGAUCGCAAGUCCUGGAUGGCGUGAAGGAUGCCAGGAAGAUAUUCCGAGAAGUGGAAGGAUCGGCUUUUAGGAGGAAAAAAACCUCGAGAUCUAUAGGAUCGGAAAAUCAGAGCAGCCCUGGACCCUCCUCGAGUGCACAGAAACCCACCCCCUGUCCCCAAGGAAGGUACCAGUACGACAGGGAGAAUUGUUCAAAGUGCAAGUCUUGCACAGAAGAGAACACAAUUGUGCUGCGGGAGUGCAGAGGCAACCAGGACACCAAGUGUGGUUGCGUGGGGGGCUAUUUCGAUGACCUGGAUGUUCCCCAUAUAUUAAACUGCAAAAAAUGCACCAAUUGCAGCUCUCUGCACAAGGAGACCUUGCAGGCUUGUCGCCGAAACAAAGACACCGAGUGCGGAUCCUGCUUUUCUGGCUUUUGCGAGUAUGAAGAGACCUGCGAGCUGUGUGUGACACCACAGAGCAUACUUGAAAUGUUCUCCGCCAUGGUGGUUCCUAAUAGCAUCACUCCCAGGACCCCCAGAGAUGAGCAGUGCAACAUGGUGUGUAAAAUGGUCUCAGCUGUAGGUGCUUGUGGGUGUAUUUUCAUCCUGGCGGGGGCCCUGAUUCUCUAUUUUAAGAAGAGGAAAAUUACUUCUUUUCCGAAGCCGAUCCCUGCGCCGGAUAUCAAUCCGCUCUCGAUUCAUUCUAAUGUCGCUUAGUCCUUCUUGACCGCCAACUUGAGCCCAA
Long non-coding RNA from Naja naja (Indian cobra), 1334 nucleotides. The record is from Ensembl. NCBI's taxonomy places the organism in Eukaryota, Metazoa, Chordata, Lepidosauria, Squamata, Elapidae.